This 253-nucleotide ribosomal RNA is filed under the name uncultured bacterium. RNAcentral describes it as "partial 16S ribosomal RNA". It matches the Rfam family "Bacterial small subunit ribosomal RNA", at positions 524 to 776 of the family's 1533-position model. The record is from RNAcentral.
UACGUAGGCAGCGAGCGUUGUUCGGAGUUACUGGGCGUAAAGGGUGUGUAGGCGGUUUUCUAAGUUUGGUGUGAAAUUUCCCAGCUCAACCGGGAGGGUGCGCCGAAAACUGGGAGACUAGAGUGCGGGAUGGGAGAGUAGAAUUCCUGGUGUAGCGGUGAAAUGCGUAGAUAUCAGGAGGAAUACCGGUGGGGUAGACGGCUCUCUGGACCGCCACUGACGCUGAGACACGAAAGCGUGGGUAGCAAACAGG